CAGGAGGCUCAGAGGAUUUAAAAGGAGAACUUUGAGUACGUUUACUGCCAAAUGUAAAGUACCGAGAUCACGUAUUAUAUUGUUGCUCACGACAUUUUUUUUUUCCAAAAGUAUUCCCCACACCAUGCGUGAAAGCCCUCAUUCUGCUCGAGAACCCCCCUGCUUCACCAUCUAGGAAUGUAUGGGAAAUAGACGAGCUUCUUGGAAUGCCACGUGCAAUCACUGCCAGCCAAAAAGAAGGGAAAGAAGGAAAAAAAACUGUGGUGCAUGAUUCUCAAUCACUCUUCAAUUGUGAAUUUGGCCGUCGGGGGUACGGUCACCGGGGGAGGGGCCUGGGAAACUGUAGACACCAUGCUGCUUGCUGCCCAGAAUAAGAAGCAUGGGAAUAAUUGAAUGGACCUUUCCAACCCUCCGCCCCCUCGAUUCGUGUGGGCCACUAAACGAGCUUGUGUCCGGGAUCGGAUCGGCCUCCCUACCAGCAUAAGUCACUCGGUGGCUCGUUUUGGCAGGAACAGAUGAUUUUAUGGUAAGACGUUAAGAAAAGCCAAGCGACACAAUCGGGUCGACAAAUCAUGGAGAUGGGGAGGGGGGUGCCAGACGGAGCAGCAGAAAGAGUGUGGUUCAUGACCCGGAUGUCAAAUAAAGUCACAUCGACCGAAUUAGAAAACUACAUCACUGUUCUUGAAUUUCUGUCGCGGGACAACGUUUACGUUGUAUAUCCUUUGUGUGUUCGCUGCUCAACAACCAAUGAGAACAUGUUUUACUGGCAAGCAGCAGUACCUGAGCCUAACCCUUCAAAACACUUGACCAAACAUUUCCUAUUCACUUUGUAGUGAUGAGGACUUGUGCUGUUACUUUCCCUUCAUUCACCAACUGCUGGCAAUCUUAAAAUAAAAAUGUACGGACU
Hippocampus zosterae (dwarf seahorse) is the source of this 907-nucleotide long non-coding RNA. RefSeq lists it as uncharacterized. The transcript is spliced from 3 exons. The record is from RefSeq and is a predicted model, not a curated record. Lineage: Eukaryota; Metazoa; Chordata; Actinopteri; Syngnathiformes; Syngnathidae.